Molecule: long non-coding RNA, 761 nt
Organism: Cornus florida
Lineage: Eukaryota; Viridiplantae; Streptophyta; Magnoliopsida; Cornales; Cornaceae
Exons: 3
Source: RefSeq, a predicted model, not a curated record
AGCAGAUAGGAUCACUUACAGAGUCACAGGUGACCGGUGAGAGCGGGUGGCUGCGCCAGACUCACACUUGCGGAAUUUAUAGAGGGGUAGGUGGCCCAGCGUUGACGAUGCUUACUUCUGCAGAACUCGCUCGCGCGGUCCUCCGCCAUCCCAACCCACCACCACCCCCUAAUUAUAUAGAACUUCUAUAUAUAUAAAUAUAAAUAUAUUAUAUGAAUGUGAGUGUAUGUAUAAUGUUCUAUGGCAAACACACCCUUUUCCUUUCAUACCCAUCAAUUUUCAGGCUAAGCGAAGGACAGUGAGAACUAUGUAGCGUCUCACAAUGUGGGAAUCACUCUUUGAACUGGAAGAAGCUUUUUGGAUGUGUACUUGAUGAUCAGCAAAAAGAUAUAAAGAGAAACUCCAGGGAACAAAGGAAGGAGGUGCAACAAUGCAAUGGUUGGACGACUGGUUUGUAUGUUGAAAGAGAGGUGGUCCAGCCGCAUGAUUGAUGUUGUGUAAGUGACCAAUGAGCCAUAAGAUUCUAAAAAUUAAGAUAUUGACAGCUUGUUAGUUGAUCGAAAUGGAAAGUCCAAAGUAGCAGAAGAAGAUCCUAUAAAUGGUUUAAGAUGCCAAGAAGUUGAUUUAGUGAAGUACCAAUAUACCCUUGUACUAAUCAGAGUGUACUAUAUCACAAUAGUGGCAAUAAAUAUAUACCCAUGAUAUAUAUAUGUUCAUUGAAAUGAUGGCUUGAACAAUGGACGACAGUUUGAAGAGAAAAA